UCAUUCUUCUCCUUUGCCGCUUCAUUCUUCAAACCCUAAAUUCACAUCUCAACUACUGUAGAUCACAUUGCCUCUUCUUUUUUAUUUUCUUUCUCACGAAUGCGUGUUUCACACAUAUCCUCGGACGCUCCAUCUUUCCCUCGGAUCAUCUAUGUUCGAUCAUAUUUUUUUUCACAAACCCUAACACAAAACGAUUCGCCGUCUCCAUCGAUUGAACCUUAUCACUUCAUAAACCUUAAUCGUACACAACCAUUUCAUCUAUUACGAAACCCUAAUGGCCAUCUCAAACAUAAUCAAAGCAACCAAUUGAUAGUUCUUUUGAUUAAAGAUUUGUUGAUUAUCGCAACUUCAUAAGGAUUAAAUUAAGGUAUAUUCAACAACUUUUACAGAUCUGUAAACUCCACAGAGAAGAUGGAUUUUGAGUUUAGAAGAGCGAGAGAGAAAUUGGAGAAAGAACAAAAGGAUCGAAAAGAAAAGGCCAAAUUACGAUUGGAAAGAGAGAGAAAAACCAAAUUAGAAGCUAAUCCCCACCGUGAAGCCAUUGAAUCUGCUCAGAGAUCUCGUAGAAUCCAUGCAAUGGAAGCACAAAUUAAGAUCGAUAAUGUUAGGCUUCAUCCAGAUGGAUCUUUAGUCAUUAUUCAGGUUCACUCACCGUCGCCAGGCUCCGUCGGUUUCAACCCCGUCUUUAUUGUGUUUGGUAACGGUGGUCCAAGUUCAGUGUUGGAAGGUGUGUGGAAUUUGGCAAACCGAUGUCAAUUCUUGCAUUGUGGCUGAACGAAUUAGUAGAAGGCAACAAGUUGAGCUCUUAAUCCCCCAGUUGCAGUUUCUUUGAUGAUCAAGGUGGAGUUAACUACAUCGGACUUGUGUGAGCUGGAACAUAUGGAUUGAUAGUACUACUGUGCAGGAACAUAUGGAGCUGGAGAAACGGUACCGGGAACUUACGGAUUUGUUGUUAGAGGUAAUGACAAGCGAAAAGGCGGCAGCGGAGUUCCAAUUAGAAAAGGAGAUGAAGCGUAUUAAAGAAGCGCAGGUAGAAGUAGAAAGAAGCAGAGUCCCUCGACGCGCAUCAGCAAGUUGGGAACGGGAAGAAGACACCGACAUGAAAGCCCUUGAGGAGUUGUAGAUGAAUUUGGUAUACCAAAAAUCGAGGAUGCCAAUCCGGUAGCACUUCAACCUUCUUGGCGAUUCGGGAAUGGAAUGUUUGCAGUCGUUUUUGUUGUUUGGCCUUCUUAUAACUGCUUUGAAGAGUCGUAAAGCACGGUAUUGGUGUUACGGGGCCGGUUAGUGUUUCAUCAUGUUUGUUUUACAGCCAUGAAUCUUUAUUAUGGGUAUGGGUUUGAUAAUUAGGUGGAAUGGGUAUGUAUUCAAUUUUAAUCUAUUUAUUUAUUUUGUUCAGAUUCGAUGGGCUCAGAGACAGCUCAUUUUAUCUACUUGAUUUUGAAGGUAUUAGUUGUAAUCUAUCUAGAUGUUGGUUGAUGACUGUCACACCCCAACCGAUGGCGGAAACAUCGGGAUGAGACGAAGUGUGUAUAGAUUGCUAGAGACGUCAUAACACUAUGUGACAAUAUUUAAUUAAAUUUGAAUUU
Molecule: RNA transcript, 1586 nt
Organism: Helianthus annuus (common sunflower)
Lineage: Eukaryota; Viridiplantae; Streptophyta; Magnoliopsida; Asterales; Asteraceae
Exons: 8
Source: RefSeq, a predicted model, not a curated record